This 599-nucleotide long non-coding RNA is filed under the name Hordeum vulgare. Its description in RNAcentral is "long non-coding RNA (HVUL_LNC009654)". The record is from RNAcentral. Lineage: Eukaryota; Viridiplantae; Streptophyta; Magnoliopsida; Poales; Poaceae.
AUGGCUCCCACCUCCUCCUGGUCGAUCCUCGUCGCCGUUGGUGUGGCUCGUCGCCUCCCGUCCGUGUGGAUGCGCCCAUGGUGGCAGCAGCUGUAGGAGAGGGGGAAGAGAUCCUGCUCUCUCUUUAUUCACUUGACAACCGCGGAUGGGGAGGAUGCGGGUGGGGUGAAUUACAUGGAGAAUGGAGUAGGCGGCAAGCUCCACAAAGGGGAUGAGGGGCGUGGGGCUGAAGGUAUGGUUCGCUACAGCGGUGGUGACACGGAACCUACCACGCCCACCGGAUCUCGGUUGUUGCUCUCUCUCGAUCUGUUCGAUACUCAGUUGUUUCUUUACUCUCCAUCCAGAUCCUGCACAGGCGCCUUGGGCUGGUGAGGUCGCUGGUGUUGGCAACGAUGCUGCAGAUCGGGUUGCACCUCUUUGUCACCUGGAGCUUCCCCGAGGUGCCCGGUACUAUCAAUAGUGUCUCUUUCUGUUCUUAUUACUGCUGCACAAAGCUGUUGAGCUUGGUCGUUUUCCUUUCUAGGUUGUGUUUGCAUACCAGGACACACAUCGCGUUGACUUGGUCAGCUCCUUGGUCAUCAUCUGGUCCAUCACCGAGC